Molecule: long non-coding RNA, 485 nt
Organism: Hippopotamus amphibius kiboko
Lineage: Eukaryota; Metazoa; Chordata; Mammalia; Artiodactyla; Hippopotamidae
Exons: 3
Source: RefSeq, a predicted model, not a curated record
UGAGUUACUGCUCCGUCUUGCUUUCGUACAGGCUCAGGAUGGAACGUCCUCCGUUACAUCUCAGCUCAGAUGAACAAACUGAAACUCAGACUUAACUGACUGACAAAGGGAAACCAGCUACGAUGCGGAGGGGCUGGGAUUCAAACCCAGGUGGCAUGGGCAGAACAAGGAGGCGUGCACACUGGGGGCAAAACUGUGAAGAAAGAGGUCAGCAUUCAUCCCGCACUGUGAUGUGAAGGGUUGGGACCCACCUAAGGCAUCUUCCUGAGACUCCAUCUGGCCUGCCACUGUGUUUCAGAAGUGCCCCUUUACGGCAGGAGGAUGGGGUGAUUUGCUAAGGUCCCUCCCAGCCUGGAGAUUCUGAGAUUCCAGAAUUACUCCUUUGUAUUAAGACGUUAUUUCUGAAAUGUUAUCCAGAUUUUUUUUUCAUUUGUUAAUUAGUUAAUUGUGUUAUGCAUAUUAGUGUAUAUAUGUCAACCCCAGUC